AAGACUAAAAGAGAGACACGACCAAGAAGCAAUCGGCGCCCCACCCCUACCCCUAUUCUCUAAGACCUUAGAACCUAGUGUACACAAAAAAGGCAGCCUUCGAUCUUCUUCUCCAAGACUCAAAUUUUCUGGUGGAAACGAUGAGCUACUGAUCUUAAGAAAUUUUUCAUUGUUAACUUCGAAAAUAAAAAAAAACAAAACACAAACACUUUAGCUUCUUUCUCCGUGAUUCUGGUUCCCAACUAUGGAGUUUGAUUGAGCGAAGUUUUUUUUUAAGAGCCGAGGUUGCCGUUCGAGGUGUCAAUUUUGAAUUCGUGAUUUCUACCCGUCUCUCAUCGUUGUCCUCUCAGUUGAAUCUGUGGAGCCAAACUUUCUGUAUUUGCCGAUUUUUAAUCUAUUGAAAGAACUCCAACAGGUCCCCCUAAACUUCCCUCUCUUAUUUUGUUUGAUCUCUCUUUUUGCCAUGUUAUUUUGCGUAUGAUGAUUAAUUCUCCAUGAUACAUGUCCAUAGAAGUAGUUUUGUAUCGUUGCAAUUUGGGGCUAGGAAUCCUAGACUCACUUAGUUGUAAUUACUUUUUUUUUUGUAGAAAAUGGUGUUGAUUUUGGUGUUCGUUGGUUUAUGAUGCAAUCUUCAUUUGAACUAAGCUUGAGGUUUCACCUUAAAGGGAAUAAUCAGUUUCUUUUACAGUCACAUACUUAAAUCAGUAGUAAUAAUAUUUAGUGUUAGUAUUCUGCAUCUUUCCUUUUAAAACUAGAACUUAAGCUUUCAAUAUAUCAGUGGUGGAUUUUUCAACUUUGGGUUGAGUAUGAAUUGUUAAUGUUUAUUAGAUUUAUUUGGAGAAUUGAUGUUUAUUAGUUAAAUUUGUUUUGGUAUUGAAAAUACGUUAGAAUGGCAUCCUAAUAUGAUUUGGUUAAAUUUCUUUAAAUUUUUUAGUGCUUUAGUCCAUUUCUUGUCCCCAUGUAGAUACGUUAAUUUGUCUCUUAUUGACUUAGUUUGUUGAAUAGAUAUGGCAAAGUAAGUUGGUUUUGAUUUGAGUUGAAAGAGCGUUAAGGAAUCUUGCAGCUCAGUUGUGGCGUAGUUGGUUUAAAAUUGACGUGGGAUCGGGACUUAAAUAUUAAAAGACAACGGAAAGAAAUAUUCUUGUUGGGCGCGUUUUAUUUUAUUUAAUUGGUCCGCUAGUAGCAUGUUUAGGCCGACUACUUGGGUAGGCAAUAUUAGGACACUUUAUUAGUUUUCGAGGCGAGAGGUCGUUCCUUUAGUUUAUUAUCUGGGGAAUGCCCCGCGAAAUUUGUAGAUAUUUUUAUCCGGGGUAUGCCCCAAAGCAUUUGUAUUUGGAGGCCGAAAGUAGAACUUGUAGUAUUUUUAUUUUAUUUUUUAUUUUUCAUUUCUCUUUUAUUAGGUAAGGACAACCUCGAGCCUCUUGUGUGUUUAUUCCAUUGUUUUGCCCUAAUUUGAAUAUUUUAAAAGCCAACUAGAUUGAGUACGCAACCGUGACUUUCACGGGACUCGGGGAAUGUCUAACACCUUCUCUCCAAGUUAAAUGAACACCCUUACCCGAUUCUCUGGUGCAAACUUAGUUUUAGAGUCUCAAGUGUUUUAAAAGGAAACAAAAUUAUUUUUAGAAAAACGGUGACCUGACACUUGAAAUCAAUGUCAGGUGGCGACUCUUAGUUAAUCCUUUUGAACACAAAUUUUGUCACAUCCUAAUUGAAAACCCUUUUCAUGCUUUACAAAAAUCUUUUUAUUAAUUUAAGAGGGUUUAGUGAAGUUUGUAAAAAAAUAGGUGUGACAGGGUAUUGCUCCAAGUGUCGCCUAUGAAGGGCGUGAUGAGAUUUGGGAAGAAGGGCAAGCUUAGCCCUAUCAGUCCGU
This 1870-nucleotide long non-coding RNA is filed under the name Nicotiana tabacum (common tobacco). Its description in RNAcentral is "long non-coding RNA (NTAB_LNC008795)". The record is from RNAcentral. Lineage: Eukaryota; Viridiplantae; Streptophyta; Magnoliopsida; Solanales; Solanaceae.